GACGUAGGGUGCAAGCGUUUGUCCGGAUUUAUUGGGCGUAAAGAGCUCGUAGGCGGCUUGUUGCGUCGACUGUGAAAACCCGCGGCUUAACCGCGGGCUUGCAGUUGAUACGGGCAGGCUAGAGUUCGGUAGGGGAGACUGGAAUUCCUGGUGUAGCGGUGAAAUGCGCAGAUAUCAGGAGGAACACCGGUGGCGAAGGCGGGUCUCUGGACAGUUCCUGACGCUGAGGCACGAAGGUCAGGGGAGCAAACGGG
RNAcentral lists this ribosomal RNA (254 nucleotides) under uncultured bacterium. RNAcentral's name for it is "partial 16S ribosomal RNA". It matches the Rfam family "Bacterial small subunit ribosomal RNA", at positions 524 to 776 of the family's 1533-position model. The record is from RNAcentral.